UGACCUCAAAUCAGGUAGGRCUACCCGCUGAACUUAA
Molecule: ribosomal RNA, 37 nt
Filed under: Agaricus crocodilinus
Lineage: Eukaryota; Fungi; Basidiomycota; Agaricomycetes; Agaricales; Agaricaceae
Description: partial 25S ribosomal RNA
Source: RNAcentral